This 253-nucleotide ribosomal RNA is filed under the name uncultured bacterium. Its description in RNAcentral is "partial 16S ribosomal RNA". It matches the Rfam family "Bacterial small subunit ribosomal RNA", at positions 524 to 776 of the family's 1533-position model. The record is from RNAcentral.
UACAUGGGGUGCAAACGUUGCUCGGAAUCAUUGGGCGUAAAGCGCGCGUAGGCGGUUGCUUAUGUCGGAUGUGAAAGCCCUCGGCUUAACUGAGGAAGUGCAUCCGAAACUGGGCAGCUAGAGUACGAAAGAGGGUCGCGGAAUUCCCGGUGUAGAGGUGAAAUUCGUAGAUAUCGGGAGGAACACCGGUGGCGAAGGCGGCGACCUGGGUCGAGACUGACGCUGAGGCGCGAAAGCCAGGGGAGCAAACGGG